CAGGGCAAAAGUGCAACAGGAGAAUUUUCUCCAUCUAUGACGCUGUUAGAAACAAGCUGUCAAAAGAUGCUCAAAGUGUUAUACUUUCCUUCGAUCCUUUGUUGCACCUGAGCUUUAUUCCUUCCUUGCAGGACACAAGUAAAUAUUGGCAUCUCCAGUACGAAAGCCACCCAGAUUCUUCUUUCACACAAGGUUUGUAAAGCCAGUGGAAAACCGAAAACGCAGGGAAAAGUAUCGAUCUGAUGUACUCAAAGAAAAUACUUUUCUUCUUAGCACGCCAUAAAGGUUAAGAGUGAUAAGACGGUAUUUACCAAGACAUGCAAACAAGUUUUGACGCCAGUGAAAUAACAAGGAAAGACACAGCAGACAUGCAUAUCAAUGAGAAUCAAACUUGUAAUUUACCUUUCCAAAAUCUGAAAUGGAUUUAGAACUUAUAAGCUUACCAAGCCUUGUAUGCUGACUAAUUUUGUUUAGCUUCAGAACCUUCAAACAUUACUAAUUUACUUUUCCAAGUUUUCCCAGUCCAGAGUUGGCUUCAGAACCUCCGAACCAUCGGCCAUCGGCAAAUUUUGUUUAGCAGUAUUUUUG
This 588-nucleotide long non-coding RNA is filed under the name Triticum aestivum (bread wheat). RNAcentral describes it as "long non-coding RNA (TAES_LNC014840)". The record is from RNAcentral. Lineage: Eukaryota; Viridiplantae; Streptophyta; Magnoliopsida; Poales; Poaceae.